This is a small nuclear RNA of Trichechus manatus latirostris (Florida manatee), 104 nucleotides long. Lineage: Eukaryota; Metazoa; Chordata; Mammalia; Sirenia; Trichechidae. The record is from RefSeq and is a predicted model, not a curated record.
UUCUUCAACAGCACAUAUUCCCUAAAAUUGAAACAAUAUAGAGAAGAUUAAGACGACCUCUGUAUGAAGACGAUAUCUUAAUUCAUGAAACAUUUCGUAUUUUU